AGAGUUUGAUCCUGGCUCAGAUUGAACGCUGGCGGCAGGCCUAACACAUGCAAGUCGAACGGUAACAGGAAGAAGCUUGCUUCCUUGCUGACGAGUGGCGGACGGGUGAGUAAUGUCUGGGAAACUGCCUGAUGGAGGGGGAUAACUACUGGAAACGGUAACUAAUACCGCAUAACGUCGCAAGACCAAAGAGGGGGACCUUCGGGCCUCUUGCCAUCGGAUGUGCCCAGAUGGGAUUAGCUAGUAGGUGGGGUAACGGCUCACCUAGGCGACGAUCCCUAGCUGGUCUGAGAGGAUGACCAGCCACACUGGAACUGAGACACGGUCCAGACUCCUACGGGAGGCAGCAGUGGGGAAUAUUGCACAAUGGGCGCAAGCCUGAUGCAGCCAUGCCGCGUGUAUGAAGAAGGCCUUCGGGUUGUAAAGUACUUUCAGCGGGGAGGAAGGGAGUAAAGUUAAUACCUUUGCUCAUUGACGUUACCCGCAGAAGAAGCACCGGCUAACUCCGUGCCAGCAGCCGCGGUAAUACGGAGGGUGCAAGCGUUAAUCGGAAUUACUGGGCGUAAAGCGCACGCAGGCGGUUUGUUAAGUCAGAUGUGAAAUCCCCGGGCUCAACCUGGGAACUGCAUCUGAUACUGGCAAGCUUGAGUCUCGUAGAGGGGGGUAGAAUUCCAGGUGUAGCGGUGAAAUGCGUAGA
RNAcentral lists this ribosomal RNA (697 nucleotides) under uncultured bacterium. RNAcentral's name for it is "bacterial SSU rRNA". It matches the Rfam family "Bacterial small subunit ribosomal RNA", at positions 8 to 694 of the family's 1533-position model. The record is from RNAcentral.